GACGAACGCUGGCGGCGUGCUUAACACAUGCAAGUCGUACGGUAAGGCCCUUUCGGGGGUACACGAGUGGCGAACGGGUGAGUAACACGUGAGUAACCUGCCCACAACUUUGGGAUAACGCUAGGAAACUGGUGCUAAUACUGGAUAUGUGCUCCUGCUGCAUGGUGGGGGUUGGAAAGCUCCGGCGGUUGUGGAUGGACUCGCGGCCUAUCAGCUUGUUGGUGGGGUAGUGGCCUACCAAGGCGGCGACGGGUAGCCGGCCUGAGAGGGUGACCGGCCACAUUGGGACUGAGAUACGGCCCAGACGCCUACGGGAGGCAGCAGUGGGGAAUAUUGAACAAUGGGCGCAAGCCUGAUGCAGCAACGCCGCGGGCGGGAGGACGGCCUUCGGGUUGUAAACCGCUUUCAGCAGGGACGAAGCUUUUUGUGACGGUACCUGCAGAAGAAGCACCGGCUAACUACGUG
Molecule: ribosomal RNA, 465 nt
Filed under: uncultured bacterium
Lineage: Bacteria
Description: partial 16S ribosomal RNA
Rfam family: Bacterial small subunit ribosomal RNA
Source: RNAcentral